CCAUAGCCCCGAUAGAAGCGGCAUCCUUUUUCUUUUUUUAUUAAAAAAGAAAAAGAUACAGCGGAUAGCGGGAUCAAGC
RNAcentral lists this small RNA (79 nucleotides) under Epilithonimonas mollis. RNAcentral describes it as "Chryseobacterium molle Flavo-1 RNA". It matches the Rfam family "Flavo-1 RNA". The record is from RNAcentral. Lineage: Bacteria; Pseudomonadati; Bacteroidota; Flavobacteriia; Flavobacteriales; Weeksellaceae.